This 253-nucleotide ribosomal RNA is filed under the name uncultured bacterium. RNAcentral describes it as "partial 16S ribosomal RNA". It matches the Rfam family "Bacterial small subunit ribosomal RNA", at positions 524 to 776 of the family's 1533-position model. The record is from RNAcentral.
UACGGGGGGAGCAAGCGUUGUUCGGAUUUACUGGGCGUAAAGGGCGCGUAGGCGGCGUGGCAAGUCACUUGUGAAAUCUCCGGGCUUAACUCGGAACGGUCAAGUGAUACUGCUGUGCUAGAGUGCGGAAGGGGCAACUGGAAUUCUCGGUGUAGCGGUGAAAUGCGUAGAUAUCGAGAGGAACACCUGCGGCGAAGGCGGGUUGCUGGGCCGACACUGACGCUGAGGCGCGAAAGCUAGGGGAGCAAACGGG